This 253-nucleotide ribosomal RNA is filed under the name uncultured bacterium. Its description in RNAcentral is "partial 16S ribosomal RNA". It matches the Rfam family "Bacterial small subunit ribosomal RNA", at positions 524 to 776 of the family's 1533-position model. The record is from RNAcentral.
UACAGAGGUCUCGAGCGUUGUUCGGAUUCAUUGGGCGUAAAGGGUGCGUAGGCGGCGUGGUAAGUCUGGUGUGAAAUCCUGGAGCUUAACUCCAGAAAUGCACUGGAUACUGCCAUGCUAGAGGACUGGAGAGGAGAUUGGAAUUCACGGUGUAGCAGUGAAAUGCGUAGAUAUCGUGAGGAAGACCAGUGGCGAAAGCGAAUCUCUGGACAGUUCCUGACGCUGAUGCACGAAGGCUAGGGGAGCAAGCGGG